Helianthus annuus (common sunflower) is the source of this 1610-nucleotide long non-coding RNA. RefSeq lists it as uncharacterized. NCBI's taxonomy places the organism in Eukaryota, Viridiplantae, Streptophyta, Magnoliopsida, Asterales, Asteraceae. The record is from RefSeq and is a predicted model, not a curated record. The transcript has 3 exons.
UAACACGUGCCAUGAGAAAUUCAGUGUUUUGCAGACCGUUUGACCUAAUACAACCUUUAAACAACUCACAAACGCAUUAUAUCUGAUUAUCCACGACGAGACUUCAUUCUUAAUACAUCACCUUUGUCUAUCCGAAACUUAUACCAUUCUUAUACUUGCAUUCGUUUAUUAAAAGUCAAUCGUUCACUUUUAUACUCCUAUUAUUCUCCAUUAUUCUUUUUUCUUUUAUACGAACCCCAUUCGCGAUCAAGUAUCAUCUAUGAUCUCUUUUGAAUCUUUAGAUGUCAUCUUUUCAAAAGUUUUCCUCUUAGAUUUCGAGGACGAAAUCUCCUAAAGUAGGGGAGACUGUAACAUCUGUCAAAAUCAACCCGUUUCAAAAUUCGACCCGUUUUAUAAAAAAAAAACAAUAAAAAAUUCAAAUCCUAAGCUCGAACAAACGGAAAUUUUCGCGAAAUAAACAAUCGUUGAGCGAUUUUUUUAUCCUAAAUUAAUUCGUUUAUAAGUAGGAUUACUUAUUUAAUUAAUUAGGAAAUUUGUUCUUUUUAUUUAUUUAUUUAUUUAUUUAUUUUAAAAAUAAACUAGUUAGUUUUGUUAAGUUUCAAAAUUGUUUAAGGUCAUAUAAGUUAACCAAGUUAAUUUAACUAGUUAAUUGAAUCUUUAAACUUAAGGGACUGUUUGUGCAUAUAACUGAAUUAAACCACAUGGUUGUUUGGUGCAAAGCUCAUGUAUUAAUUAUACGCGUGCUACAGUCAAAUUCUUGGAACCUAAAGUUGCCGCCUAUAAGGCCACACGGGGUGGUUCACUAGUGAUGGGUUCUAGUGAUGGGAGCACCCAAUCAAAUCAUGCCAUGUCAGCACCCAAUAUUCUAGUGAUAGUGAUAGAAAUGUAGUGGGGGUGGUAUCACUAGUGAUGGGGAUUCCAAUGUACAAGUAUUAAUGCACAAUGUACAAGUCAUACCCUAUCAAAACUCAAAGUUUAACGCGUUAUGUGCAGCACGCGUUGAUGUUUCCACGCGUUAUAGAAACACCGGCGGCGGUGUUCCGUUCCACUUCAACGAGUGAUGAAAACUCAUCACGCUCCCGCCCCGGGUUACCUAACAGCUUGCAUCCAGCCACCUUCCAACUUAACUCCACUGAUUUUUUUCGGUGAUUGACAUCGUUCCGCGUUUCCGAUUUUACAGUCAAUCAAGAAGCUGGUCAUGAUCUUACCUAUACUUCACCAUUUUAAACCUUCCAUAACUUCCCUCCCCCACAUCUCGACACCCUCACACUCGCAACACGUUUCGGUAUCCUAACACCUCACUUCAUUCUGUUCCGACACAAACAACACUCACCGUUCUUUUCGUAUUACCCACACGCUCGCCGGAAAGGUCGGAGGCAUCGCCGGAGACCGAGAAGACGACCGGAGAUACCCUUGUUGGAGACCGCAAGUCGCCGGAUAACUCGUAUCAACGUCGGAGCCUACGUCAGGAUUCACGCCAUUUCCGUUCGGAUAAUCAUUUCGUUCUCUUGGUUCCCCAAUCUCUACUCGUUCGUUAUUACAAGAAAUCGCAACGCAACCAAUGUUGAUAGACAAGAUGAUGAAGAAAUCAAGUUAGGAUGGACUUAGAU